This 324-nucleotide ribosomal RNA is filed under the name uncultured eukaryote. RNAcentral's name for it is "partial 18S ribosomal RNA". It matches the Rfam family "Eukaryotic small subunit ribosomal RNA", at positions 1470 to 1796 of the family's 1831-position model. The record is from RNAcentral.
CCCUUAGAUGUUCUGGGCUGCACGCGCGCUACACUGAAGCUAUCAACACGUUUUCCCUCCCUGAGAAGGGCGGGUAACCUUUUGAAUCAGUUUCGUGGUAGGGAUCGGGGCUUGCAAUUGUUCCCCGUGAACCAGGAAUUCCUAGUAGACGCGAGUCAUAAGCUCGCAUCGAUUAAGUCCCUGCCCUUUGUACACACCGCCCGUCGCUACUACCGAUUGAACGUUUUAGUGAGGCAUUUGGACCGACGCAUCUCAGUUUAACCGCUGGUUUGUGUUGGAAAGACUUCCAAACUUGAGCGUUUAGAGGAAGUAAAAGUCGUAACA